Sorex araneus (European shrew) is the source of this 283-nucleotide long non-coding RNA. RefSeq lists it as uncharacterized. The record is from RefSeq and is a predicted model, not a curated record. The transcript has 3 exons. Lineage: Eukaryota; Metazoa; Chordata; Mammalia; Eulipotyphla; Soricidae.
CGGGGAUGUAGGGAGCGGGCGCUCUGCGGCCCCAAAGGCCCGCUCCCGGGGCAGUGGGCGCCCGGACCCGGGCAGCGACCCCCCCAAACCCGACAGGGCUGCCCGGAGCCCCGUCGGGCGACGCCUUAGAAGGUCAACCUCAGGCGUAGCCUGUUAGCCAUCACCCCAGCCUCUGUGCCUUCUACUUCGUCUUCAGAUGCUCUAACAGAGACCUGAGAACAGGGUGCAAGCGGAUGACUGGAAUCUACACCCCAGGCUCAUCACAGAUCAUACAGCACUUCAG